Molecule: unclassified non-coding RNA, 369 nt
Filed under: Calycera crassifolia
Lineage: Eukaryota; Viridiplantae; Streptophyta; Magnoliopsida; Asterales; Calyceraceae
Description: partial miscellaneous RNA
Source: RNAcentral
CAGCAACGUCCAUCCGUGCAUGCCUCUUCAUUUUUGCGUCAAGGUCGGGUUGGCCUUGAGUGCUUGUUGGGUUCCUGUGUUGCCUACCUACUCGAUGGUAUUGUAUUGUUUUAAUAACGACCCUUUUCGUUGCUCGUCGCUCAUGGGGCGUGCGAUGAACCUAAAAGUGGCCAUUUUGAUCCAUGUCUUUGACGCAUUUGCGUUGUCGAUGUGGCCCAAAGGGCGCCACUGGGUUUCUUGGAUACGGAACGUUGUGUGGGUACGGGGUUUCUAAUGACCUUGUGUGUACCAUUGCUAGGCGUUCUCGCUUCUUUGAAACGACUGUCGGUCGCAUGCUGAUUUCAUCUCGUGCGGCAGGCAACGUCGAAG